Small nuclear RNA from Erinaceus europaeus (western European hedgehog), 162 nucleotides. RefSeq annotates it as U1 spliceosomal RNA. The record is from RefSeq and is a predicted model, not a curated record. The transcript has a single exon. NCBI's taxonomy places the organism in Eukaryota, Metazoa, Chordata, Mammalia, Eulipotyphla, Erinaceidae.
AUACUUACCUGGCAGGGGAAAUACCAUGAUCACAAAGGUGAUUUUCCCAGGGCAAGGCUUAUCCAUUGCACUCCAGAUGUGCUGACCCCUGAGAUUUCCCCGAAUGUGGGAAACUCGACUGCAUAAUUCUGGGGGCACCAAGGCUCUUGGGGCUAAUGGAGU